RNAcentral lists this ribosomal RNA (491 nucleotides) under uncultured bacterium. Its description in RNAcentral is "partial 16S ribosomal RNA". It matches the Rfam family "Bacterial small subunit ribosomal RNA", at positions 28 to 507 of the family's 1533-position model. The record is from RNAcentral.
GAUGAACGCUGGCUACAGGCUUAACACAUGCAAGUCGAGGGGAAACGACGGGGAAGCUUGCUUCCCCGGGCGUCGACCGGCGCACGGGUGAGUAACGCGUAUCCAACCUGCCUCUGACUGAGGGAUAACCCGUCGAAAGUCGGCCUAAUACCUCAUGGCAUCGUCUGCGGGCAUCCAACGACGAUUAAAGAUUUCAUCGGCCAGGGAUGGGGAUGCGUCUGAUUAGCUAGUUGGCGGGGUAACGGCCCACCAAGGCGACGAUCAGUAGGGGUUCUGAGAGGAAGGUCCCCCACAUUGGAACUGAGACACGGUCCAAACUCCUACGGGAGGCAGCAGUGAGGAAUAUUGGUCAAUGGGCGAGAGCCUGAACCAGCCAAGUAGCGUGCAGGAUGACGGCCCUAUGGGUUGUAAACUGCUUUUAUGCGGGGAUAAAGUGAGGGACGUGUCCUUCAUUGCAGGUACCGCAUGAAUAAGGACCGGCUAAUUCCGUG